CAAAAUGCUUUUUUUAAAGCACAUAAUUCAUCCAGUAGAAUUAUAU
This is a non-coding RNA of Nomascus leucogenys (northern white-cheeked gibbon), 46 nucleotides long. The record is from Rfam. Lineage: Eukaryota; Metazoa; Chordata; Mammalia; Primates; Hylobatidae.